RNAcentral lists this small RNA (65 nucleotides) under Klebsiella aerogenes. RNAcentral describes it as "partial RtT sRNA". It matches the Rfam family "RtT RNA", at positions 1 to 64 of the family's 130-position model. From Rfam's summary of the family: This family represents a bacterial cis-regulatory element known as RtT RNA. The exact function of RtT is unknown although it is thought that it may be involved in changing the cellular response in relation to amino acid starvation. Lineage: Bacteria; Pseudomonadati; Pseudomonadota; Gammaproteobacteria; Enterobacterales; Enterobacteriaceae. The record is from RNAcentral.
UAUUCUGCCCUACGGGGAAGGAUGAGAAGCUUCGACUAAGGUUCGACUCGAGCGCCAGCGAGAAA